RNAcentral lists this transfer RNA (84 nucleotides) under Lentisphaerota bacterium. Its description in RNAcentral is "Lentisphaerae bacterium (anaerobic digester metagenome) tRNA-Leu". It matches the Rfam family "tRNA". From Rfam's summary of the family: Transfer RNA (tRNA) molecules are approximately 80 nucleotides in length. Their secondary structure includes four short double-helical elements and three loops (D, anti-codon, and T loops). Lineage: Bacteria; Pseudomonadati; Lentisphaerota. The record is from RNAcentral. RNAcentral also lists the same sequence under 1 other name.
GCUCGGGUGGUGAAAUGGCAGACACGCAUGUUUGAGGGGCAUGUGGGGCAACCCGUGGGGGUUCGAGUCCCCCCCCGAGCACCA